UGCAGCGUAUGUAAGAUGACUAUUAUGUGGUCUCUGGUGAGCUGAUCUCUUGACGGCAAAUGAGGAUGUCCGUAUUAAAAAGUCACCCCUGUACUACAGAGAAAUCUACAAUGAUGAUUUCCUAUCUUCAUUUUGUAUAAUGGGGUAGAUCGAAGACACACGACCCCGCCUACCUUUACAAAAAGGCUCCAACACAAUUAUAGCAUGCAUGUUUGACGCUCAUAGAUCAGGUAGUACCUUGGGGCUCUGUCUAACAUGACACAGGGCUAUACUUACAGUUCAGGUUACUUUUCUUCACCAACCUGACUGAGGCAUGUGAGGCACUUCCUCUCCCCUCAGAGCAGAGGCGGGAGGUUCCUGUUCAUCAGGGCCACCACACCACGGCCCCUGGCCAAGGUCACCUGUCAUACCACCACUUCCGGGCUCAACCACACGGCCCUGGAGCUGUCUGCUGCAUGGGGGACAUGCUAUACCGUAGAAGCCAUGCUAUACCAAAUGUGGUAUGCAGUGCACUCCUCCCUCAUCACGGCUCUCUAGUGUUCCCUCUCCCAGUCAGAACAACCCAGACGGGCUCUACUCCUCUUAUCAGAUGGAGCCAGGCAGGCAGGACAGGACGGGGCCAGUGUGGAUCCAGCUGCUCCCAGGAGCAGGGCGCAGUCCCACUUAAUAGGUCUUCCCGGCAUCCCAGGCCUCGCCCCACUGGCAUCCCAGUCACAGCCAGGCAGGCUACUCCGUGGGUGGCACGCCUUGGAAACAGGCGGCAGAGACAGAGGAGGUGGGUACGGGGGAGACUGGUAAAGACAACCCAGUCCGCCUGGUGUUCCAGAGAACUUUGCCGUUAGACCAAUUGCUUCCCGAGGACCAGUAAAAAGCAAUGGCUCCGACAUGGAGUCCCAUGACGCAUCAUGCUGAAUCUGAUCAGAACAUAUUGAGAGUUCAAAUGACACUUGCUUGAAUAUGCAGCUUGAGCUACAUCGAAAUGUUGUCAACGUUGAGCGAGUUUCUGUUUUCAUAUUGGUGGUGCUACCUGCUUAGAAGGCCGGUCAGGGUCUUGGUGUUCUAAAUCAUCCUAAUUGAUGGGUGUCGGAUGUGUUAGUAUUAUCAUAGGUGC
Long non-coding RNA from Oncorhynchus tshawytscha (Chinook salmon), 1111 nucleotides. Lineage: Eukaryota; Metazoa; Chordata; Actinopteri; Salmoniformes; Salmonidae. The record is from Ensembl.